UACGGAGGGUGCAAACGUUGCUCGGAAUCAUUGGGCGUAAAGCGCACGUAGGCGGCCUGAUAAGUCGGGUGUGAAAGCCCUGGGCUCAACCCAGGAAGUGCACUCGAAACUGUCAGGCUUGAAUAUGGAAGAGGGUCGCGGAAUUCCCGGUGUAGAGGUGAAAUUCGUAGAUAUCGGGAGGAACACCAGUGGCGAAGGCGGCGACCUGGUCCUUGACUGACGCUGAGGCGCGAAAGCGUGGGGAGCAAACAGG
This 253-nucleotide ribosomal RNA is filed under the name uncultured bacterium. Its description in RNAcentral is "partial 16S ribosomal RNA". It matches the Rfam family "Bacterial small subunit ribosomal RNA", at positions 524 to 776 of the family's 1533-position model. The record is from RNAcentral.